RNAcentral lists this long non-coding RNA (1033 nucleotides) under Helianthus annuus (common sunflower). Its description in RNAcentral is "hypothetical non coding rna". Lineage: Eukaryota; Viridiplantae; Streptophyta; Magnoliopsida; Asterales; Asteraceae. The record is from RNAcentral.
GAAGGAAACUAUAACAAAGUUGGGGCUGAAAAGGAAACUACCAUAAAGUUGGGUGUCAAAAGCAAACUAUUUGUAAAAUGGAGUAGUAGUUUAGGGACUAAAUUUGCCAUUUUAUAAAACUUUGAAGGUACCAAAGUCAAGGGGCUAAAGUUGUAACAUCGUGAAAGUAUGGGGGAGGGGGAGGCAAAGCCGAUGGGGUUUCCACCGACUUUGUCUUUUAAGAUAAGAAGGAAACUAUAACAAAGUUGGGGCUGAAAAGAAAACUGCCACAAAGUUAGGGUGUCAAAAGCAAGUUAUUUGUAAAAUGGAGUAGUAGUUUAGGGACUAAAUUUGCCAUUUUAUGAAACUUUGAAGAUAUCAAAGUCAAGGGGCUAAAGUUGUAACAUCGUGAAAGUAUGGGAAAGGGGGAGGUAAAGCCGGUGGGGUUUCCACCGAAUUUGUGAGUCAUAGGAAUGUUUCUGAUUUACUGUAUAUCCAAACUUGAGUUUCGCUAAUAACGCCAUUUGGUAAGAAUUUUCACUGCCGUCUGUGAUCAUCCUUUAUGGAUAUCCGAAAUAAUCAAACAGAGAUGAAAGAAAAGAAUUUGCAGUCAAAUGUGGGGAUCAGUUCAUCUAACAAUCUGAUGCACCACGAAAGCUGAAGCAAUUCAUCUUGAAUCAAUUAGAUACAAAAUCCCAAAUGAACAACUAAGGGGCUGUUUGUUUACCUCUUAAUGAGCCUCUUAAUAGUUCAGACCUCUUACUGGUUCAGCACUUAAUGGUUCAGACUGUUUGUUUCACGAGCAGAUGUCUGAAUGGUUCAGACAUUUGCCUCUGAAUGGUUAAGAUUUAUACAGAGUCUGAAUGGUUAAGACAUCUAAUCUGAAUUGGUCAGACAUUUGCCUCUGAACGGUUAAGCAUUAUACAGGCUCUUAAUGGUUCAGACCUCUUCUUACUGGUUCAGCACUUAAUGAUUCAGACCUCUUACUGUUUCAGCACUUAACCAUUCAGAUGUUGCCAAACAACCAACCUGCUACCAUCUAUUUAAUGGAAAU